GUAUUUUGAAUUAUUUUAUUCGUAAUAUUUUUCAGACAAAGAGUUAAAGAGUUGGUUGAUGUUUGGCCGAUCUCCAUAAAGAAGAUCGACUGACAUUGCACACAAGGUGGAUAUGGAUUUAAAAAGUGCCAUAAAACACUUAUUAUGAAUGAUCCUUCCGCAGGUUCACCUACGGAAA
Molecule: unclassified non-coding RNA, 178 nt
Filed under: uncultured fungus
Lineage: Eukaryota; Fungi
Description: sequence contains ITS1
Source: RNAcentral